AAGAAACAGUGUUUCCUUACCCUUAGAAAUUCUAAGGAGAAGAGAGAAAUGGGAGGUGGUGAGCCAUCGGGGACAAAUUGGACACCUGAAAUGGAAAGCUAUUUCAUUGUUCAAUGACAUAAAGAAUCUUCUUGACCAGAAUGGAUUUUCUUGGGAUGAGACUAGACAAAUGGUGAUUGCCAGUAAUAAUGUCUGGGAUUCCUAUAUCAAGGUGCAC
Molecule: long non-coding RNA, 217 nt
Organism: Gastrolobium bilobum
Lineage: Eukaryota; Viridiplantae; Streptophyta; Magnoliopsida; Fabales; Fabaceae
Exons: 3
Source: RefSeq, a predicted model, not a curated record